UAGUGGGUCAUUUUUGGCAAGCUAGAAACUGGCGAUGCGGGAUGAACCAAUCAUGGGGUUAAAGUGCAGGAAUAUAUGCUCAUUUAGACAUCACAAAAGGUAUUGGUUCAUCUAGACAGCAGGACGGUGGCCAUGGAAGUCGGCGUCUUCUAGGAAUGUGUAACAAUUCACCUUGCCGAAAUGAACUAAAAUAUAAAAAUAACGCGAAUUAAAUAAUUCUUUGCUUUGAUUACUUAAAAACCAUAUUUAUUUUGGCAA
Molecule: non-coding RNA, 258 nt
Filed under: Neocallimastix californiae
Lineage: Eukaryota; Fungi; Neocallimastigomycota; Neocallimastigomycetes; Neocallimastigales; Neocallimastigaceae
Description: Eukaryotic large subunit ribosomal RNA
Rfam family: Eukaryotic large subunit ribosomal RNA
Source: Rfam by way of RNAcentral